UGGGGAAUAUUGCGCAAUGGGGGGAACCCUGACGCAGCCAUGCCGCGUGAAUGAAGAAGGCCUUCGGGUUGUAAAGUUCUUUCGGUAUUGAGGAAGGUUGAUGUGAUAAUAGCACAUCAAAUUGACGUUAAAUACAGAAGAAGCACCGGCUAACUCCGUGCCAGCAGCCGCGGUAAUACGGAGGGUGCGAGCGUUAAUCGGAAUAACUGGGCGUAAAGGGCACGCAGGCGGUUAUUUAAGUGAGGUGUGAAAGCCCUGGGCUUAACCUAGGAAUUGCAUUUCAGACUGGGUAACUAGAGUACUUUAGGGAGGGGUAGAAUUCCACGUGUAGCGGUGAAAUGCGUAGAGAUGUGGAGGAAUACCGAAGGCGAAGGCAGCCCCUUGGGAAUGUACUGACGCUCAUGUGCGAAAGCGUGGGGAGCAAACAGGAUUAGAUACCCUGGUAGUCCACGCUGUAAACGCUGUCGAUUUGGGGGUUGGGGUUUAACUUUGGCGCCCGUAGCUAACGUGAUAAGUCGACCGCCUGGGGAGUACGGCCGCAAGGUUA
Molecule: ribosomal RNA, 547 nt
Filed under: uncultured bacterium
Lineage: Bacteria
Description: bacterial SSU rRNA
Rfam family: Bacterial small subunit ribosomal RNA
Source: RNAcentral